Molecule: long non-coding RNA, 960 nt
Organism: Passer domesticus (house sparrow)
Lineage: Eukaryota; Metazoa; Chordata; Aves; Passeriformes; Passeridae
Exons: 4
Source: RefSeq, a predicted model, not a curated record
GGAACACACAGUCCACACACUGAUGUACACCUAUCUAGACAUGAGGGACUAUAGGAACAGGCACAAAUGAGGGCUUAACAAGGAGCUCACUCCAGCAGCUUUAUGCAAGUGUUGGCAGAUGAAUGAGGCUGGACCUGACUACACCUUCUUUAAAGAAACAGGCAGUAUCUCAAAACCCAGGAUAGGACCUCAGACCCAGAGUAUUUAUAAAUGAUAGACAAAAGACCAGAGGAUAGUCUAUCUGGAAAUGUAUCAAAAAAUUUGAAACAGGCCUACAAAGGCUAACCAAGCUGCAAACAACAGCACUGAUUAAAAUGGGAAAGAAAAAAAAUUCAGAAUGAGGACCCACAAGAAAUCUCCAAAUGACAGCAACUUAUGUCUGAAGAAAAGACCAAAAAUUUUGGGCAAAAAGCUAGGACCGUUCAAAAAGACAUAGACCUUUUGGAGAUCUACUGGUGAAGAACAGGAACUAUGAAGAUGUCAAAAAUGAACUUAAACAGCCAUCGCUCAAGAUGGCAAGAGCUGGAAGGUUGAACACAGCAAAAUAAAAAUCAAAAGCACUGAUUAUCAGAGAUUAUUAUGCCAGUGAGGUACUCAACAAAACAGAUUAAAAUGGUAUGGAUGAUUAAAUAUUAAGAAAGUGUUUUUCAAGCAACAGAACUUACGAAGACUCUUUUUUUACUGAUAUGUCUAUCUGUUAUUUUACAUACCAGCCUGUUAUAUUUACAUACCUCUAACUCCCAAGACAACUCUGAUGGACAAGAAACUGUGUCAUCUUCUAGCUUUCAAAACUCAAUGCAUGAUAGUUAAUACACUAUUGCUAUGAAUUAUACUGACAGCUCAAUUCUGUCUACUUUUAUUUCAAAAGCAGCCUCUCUCCUACACCAGCUACCAAUUUUUGUAAAUUAUGGGGAACUUCACAUGUCUUUCACUUCUCUUAGAAAUCAGCCUGAUGCUGAC